Lemur catta (Ring-tailed lemur) is the source of this 1040-nucleotide RNA transcript. It is a transcript of the gene named 60S acidic ribosomal protein P0-like, with no coding region annotated. The transcript is spliced from 2 exons. NCBI's taxonomy places the organism in Eukaryota, Metazoa, Chordata, Mammalia, Primates, Lemuridae. The record is from RefSeq and is a predicted model, not a curated record.
AUGAUUCCUAGGGAAGACAAGGCAACCUGGAAGUCCAAUUGCUUCCUUAAGAUCAUCCAACUUUUGGAUGAUUACCCAAAAUGCUUAAUUGUGGGAACAGACAAUGUGGGCUCCAAGCAGAUGCAGCAGAUCUGCAUGUCCACCCAAGGGAAGGCUGUGGUGCUGAGCAAGACAAGCAUGAUGUGCAAAGCCGUCCAAGGGCAUCUGGAAAACAACCCAGCUCUGGAGAAACUGUUGCUUCAUAUCCGGGGGAAUGUGGGCUUUGUGUUCACCAAGGAGGACCUUACUGAGAUCAGGGACAUGCUGCUGGCCAAUAAGGUGCCAGCUGCCACCCAUGCUGGUGCGGUUGCCCCAUGUGAUGUCAUUGUGCCAUCCCAGAACACUGAUCUGGGGCCAGAGAAGGUCUCCUUCUUCUAGGUUUUAGGCAUCACCACUAAAAUUUCCAGGGACACCAUUGAAAUCCUGAGUGAUGUGCAGCUGAUUAAGACUGGAGACAAAGUGGAAGCCAGCGAAGCCACACUGUGGAGUAUGCUGAACAUCUUGCCUUUCUCCUUUGGUCUGAUCAUCCAGCAGGUGUCCAACAAUGGCAGCACCUACCGCCCUGAAGUGCUUGACAUCGCAGAGGAAACUGUGCAUUCUGGCUUCCUGGAGGGGUCUGCAAUGUUGCCAGUGUUCGUCUGCAGAUUGGUUACCCAACUGUUGCAUCAGUACCCCAUUCUAUCAUCAGUGGCUACAAACGAGUCCUGGCUUUGUCUGUGGGGACUGAUUACACCUUUUCACUUGCUGAAAAGGUCAAAGCCUUCUUCGCUGAUCCAUCUGCUUUUGUGGCUGCUGCCCGGGGGGGCCACGCCACCACUGCUGCUCCUGCUGCUGCCAAAGCCCAAGCCAAGGCUGAAGCCAAGGAAGAGCUGGAGGAGUUGGAUGAGGAUACAGGACUUGGUCUCUUUGAUGAAUCACCAGAAAGAACCAACUCACUUCCAACCAACUCUAAAUCGCCCACGAAUCCAAACCGUCAGGGUCGGACCCAGUAUUGCCACUAG